ACUAUAUUCACCCGCUUCGGAUGUUAUCAGUCUACAAUGGGCGUUAUUAGCAGAAAUCAGUCCCAUAUCUCCACCUGCUAGAUUGUUCAGAAGGUUGUUAUCAUCCAUCCAGAUGGAGGAUCACUGACAGGAGCGUGGGAAGACUCCAGAAUCCACUCUGGCUGGAAUCCGGUGGAUACAGCAGUGUUACAGUUCUCCACAGUCACUGUCCACAUGGGUCAGUGGGACCAAGCAGCACUCUGCUAAUGUGUGGACUCUGACCAGCAACAUCCAGCAAGACCCAGACAGCGUUUUCUAUCUCCCAGCUGGAGUUUUUUGUUUGUCUGUGACUGGAGAGUCAGAUUUUUGUUGAGGCUGGAGGAACAGCCUCACACUGGCAGAGGUAAGUCAGUUUGCAGAGAUCCCUCCCUCCAAGCGGAAGCGAAUGGAUGGAUGGAUGGACACAGUAAUGUGAAGUAUGCUUAUAUCUAGUAUAACUGAACCAACGUGGUGCUCUUCAUUUAUGGAGGCUGUUUGAGUCUGAAUGUUGGAUGUUGUGUAUCUCGUGUUCUCUGGGCUUUGUUGUCCUCAGUCUCUUUGCAGGAUCAGAAAACAAAACCAGGAGGCGCGUAAAUGUUUCUUCUCCAAUUGGAUGAUGAUAAGACCAUGACACGGGAUGCCACCUUUAGUCUUCUGAUGAAGCAAAGCUCAGGAAGAAGUGUGAUUAAAUGGUAUCCACAUGUGUGCUGCUGAGGAGGAUGUACAGGGGUACCUGCAGCCAAAUCCAAGCCUCUUCAGGUUAGUUGUAGUUGCAGAAUGCUAUAGUACUGAGACAGCUGAGGAAUCAAAUGUUUGAUUAAACAGAUGGAAAAGAGAAGUUUCUUCCCUAUAAUUAUCACUUUUUAAAAUCUGUAGCAACAGAUGGUGACGGUGUGGAGAGACGGUGGUGUUUCCUCAGAAGAACUAGCAGAGUCACAAAGGGCACCAGUCCAUCUCACCGCCUUGACUUGCUGACUGAUGCUUGUCUGCACCGCACAUUCCCCCCCCUCUGUCCCCUUCUGGCUGCCUCUGCCUCAAUUUUAUCCCACAACUUAGACAUUCACAUUACUCACACUCUCAUUACACAUACAUAUAGGAUCUUGGGGUGGGCACGCCACACAGAAUCCAAAUUACCAUCAGGGUGUACACCUCACCCCCUGGCGCGUUGCCCACCUCUCAAUUUUAAAUACACGUAGACAUUGAGGGCUAGCAGGAGGGGCUAUGCGCCUACCUGCUGCUCUGGCAGGUAGCUCCAUGCCCUCCUGGGUUUUAAAUGCACCUUAGAACACACAUACAUCAACACUACAUAUGAGC
Long non-coding RNA from Oreochromis aureus, 1332 nucleotides. Lineage: Eukaryota; Metazoa; Chordata; Actinopteri; Cichliformes; Cichlidae. The record is from Ensembl.